This 393-nucleotide ribosomal RNA is filed under the name uncultured bacterium. RNAcentral describes it as "partial 16S ribosomal RNA". It matches the Rfam family "Bacterial small subunit ribosomal RNA", at positions 523 to 918 of the family's 1533-position model. The record is from RNAcentral.
AUACGGAAGGUCCGGGCGUUAUCCGGAUUUAUUGGGUUUAAAGGGAGCGCAGGCGGGGAUGCAAGCGUGACGUCAAAUUUCGGGGCUCAACCCCGUCUCGCGUCGCGAACUGCGUCCCUUGGGUGCGGGAAGGGGAGGCGGAACUCGGGGUGUAGCGGGGAAAUGCAUAGAUAUCACGAAGAACUCCGAUCGCGAAGGCAGCCUUCCGGCCCGUCAACGACGCUCAUGCUCGAAGGUGCGGGUAUCAAACAGGAUUAGAUACCCUGGUAGUCCGCACAGUAAACGAUGGACACCCGCGGUUUGGCCUGUAUGGCUGAGCCGCCAAGCGAAAGCGUUAAGUGUCCCACCUGGGGAGUACGCCGGCAACGGUGAAACUCAAAGGAAUUGACGGGG